This 851-nucleotide ribosomal RNA is filed under the name marine metagenome. RNAcentral's name for it is "bacterial SSU rRNA". It matches the Rfam family "Bacterial small subunit ribosomal RNA", at positions 313 to 1173 of the family's 1533-position model. The record is from RNAcentral.
UCGGAACUGAGACACUGUCCGGACUCCUACGGGAGGCUGCAGUAACGAAUAUUCCGCAAUGAGCGAAAGCUUGACGGAGCAAUGCCGCGUGUAGGAUGAAUCUUUUCGGAGUGUAAACUACUGUCAGAGACUAGGAACUCAAUGACCAAUCUCAAAGGAAGGGCCGGCUAACUUCGUGCCAGCAGCCGCGGUAAUACGAAGGGCCCGAGCGUUAUUCGGAAUCACUGGGCUUAAAGCGUACGUAGGCUGGUAUAUAGGCAUUUUGUGAAAUCCCUCGGCUCAACCGAGGAACUGCAGGGUGAACCAUAUAUCUUGAGACAGACAGAGGUCGUCGGAACGAUUGGUGGAGUGGUGAAAUGCGUUGAUAUCAAUCGGAACGCCGAAGGAGAAGUCAGGCGACUGGGUCUGUUCUGACGCUGAGGUACGAAAGCGUGGGUAGCGAACGGGAUUAGAUACCCCGGUAGUCCACGCCGUAAACGAUGUGCACUAGGUCGAGGGCGUUCUGACGCGACUCUCGGCCGAAGCGAAAGUGUUAAGUGCACCGCCUGGGGAGUACGGUCGCAAGGCUAAAACUCAAAGGAAUUGACGGGGGCUCACACAAGCGGUGGAGCAUGUGGCUUAAUUCGAAGCAACGCGAAGAACCUUAUCCUAGGUUUGACAUACACGGAUUAGCUAUAAGAAACUAUAGUGACACCUUCGGGUGGAACGUGAACAGGUGCUGCAUGGCUGUCGUCAGCUCGUGCUGUGAAGUGUCGGGUUAAGUCCCAUAACGAGCGCAACCCUUAUCGUUAGUUGCUAACAGGUAAUGCUGAGGACUCUAGCGAGACUGCCGGUGUUAAACCGGAGGAAGG